This is an unclassified non-coding RNA of Pongo abelii (Sumatran orangutan), 149 nucleotides long. It matches the Rfam family "Metazoan signal recognition particle RNA". Rfam says of the family: The signal recognition particle (SRP) is a universally conserved ribonucleoprotein. Lineage: Eukaryota; Metazoa; Chordata; Mammalia; Primates; Hominidae. The record is from Ensembl.
GCCGGGCAUGGUGGCGCAUGCCUGUAAUCCCAGCUACUCAGGAGGCUGAGGCAGGACAAUCGCUUGAACCCAGGAGGCGGAGGUUGCAGUGAGCCGAGAUGGUGCCACUGCACUUCCAGCCUGGGCAACAGAGCAAGACUCUGUCUCAA